Molecule: ribosomal RNA, 1341 nt
Filed under: metagenome
Description: bacterial LSU rRNA
Rfam family: Bacterial large subunit ribosomal RNA
Source: RNAcentral
ACCAUGCUUCCAAGAAAAGCCUCUAAGCUUCAGUUACAAGGAGACCGUACCGCAAACCGACACAGGUGGGCAGGAUGAAAAUUCUAAGGCGCUUGAGAGAACUCAGGAGAAGGAACUCGGCAAAUUUGCACCGUAACUUCGGGAAAAGGUGCGCCCUGAUAGGUUGUAGCCCCUCGCGGGUGAAGGCUGAAAGGGUUGCAGUGAAAUGGUGGCUGCGACUGUUUAAUAAAAACACAGCACUCUGCAAACACGAAAGUGGACGUAUAGGGUGUGACGCCUGCCCGGUGCCGGAAGGUUAAGUGAUGGGGUGCAAGCUCUUGAUCGAAGCCCCGGUAAACGGCGGCCGUAACAAUAACGGUCCUAAGGUAGCGAAAUUCCUUGUCGGGUAAGUUCCGACCUGCACGAAUGGCGUAACGAUGGCCACACUGUCUCCUCCUGAGACUCAGCGAAGUUGAAGUGGUUGUGAAGAUGCAAUCUCCCCGCGGUUAGACGGAAAGACCCCAUGAACCUUUACUGUAGCUUUGCAUUGGACUUUGAACCGACUUGUGUAGGAUAGGUGGGAGGCUGUGAAGCCGGGACGCUAGUUCUGGUGGAGCCAACCUUGAAAUACCACCCUGGUUUGUUUGAGGUUCUAACCACGGCCCGUGAAUCCGGGUCUGGGACCGUGCAUGGUAGGCAGUUUGACUGGGGCGGUCUCCUCCUAAAGUGUAACGGAGGAGUACGAAGGUACGCUAGGUACGGUCGGACAUCGUGCUAAUAGUGCAAUGGCAAAAGCGUGCUUGACUGCGAGACCCACACGUCGAGCAGGUACGAAAGUAGGUCAUAGUGAUCCGGUGGUUCUGUAUGGAAGGGCCAUCGCUCAACGGAUAAAAGGUACUCUGGGGAUAACAGGCUAAUACCGCCCAAGAGUUCAUAUCGACGGCGGUGUUUGGCACCUCGAUGUCGGCUCAUCACAUCCUGGGGCUGUAGUCGGUCCCAAGGGUAUGGCUGUUCGCCAUUUAAAGUGGUACGUGAGCUGGGUUUAAAACGUCGUGAGACAGUUUGGUCCCUAUCUGCCGUGGGCGCUGGAAAUUUGAAGGGGGCUGCUCCUAGUACGAGAGGACCGGAGUGGACGAACCUCUGGUGUACCGGUUAUGACGCCAGUCGUAUUGCCGGGUAGCUAAGUUCGGAAGAGAUAAACGCUGAAAGCAUCUAAGCGUGAAACUCGCCUUAAGAUGAGAUUUCCCUGGGGACUUGAUCCCCCUGAAGGGUCGUGGUAGACCACCACGUUGAUAGGCUGGGUGUGGAAGCGCAGCAAUGCGUUAAGCUAACCAGUACUAAUUGCCCGUGAGGCUUGAUCCG